RNAcentral lists this ribosomal RNA (400 nucleotides) under uncultured bacterium. Its description in RNAcentral is "bacterial SSU rRNA". It matches the Rfam family "Bacterial small subunit ribosomal RNA", at positions 356 to 773 of the family's 1533-position model. The record is from RNAcentral.
GAGGAAUAUUGCACAAUGGAGGAAACUCUGAUGCAGCAACGCCGCGUGGAGGAUGACGCAUUUCGGUGUGUAAACUCCUUUUAUUAGGGAAGAAAAUGACGGUACCUAAUGAAUAAGCACCGGCUAACUCCGUGCCAGCAGCCGCGGUAAUACGGAGGGUGCAAGCGUUACUCGGAAUCACUGGGCGUAAAGGACGCGUAGGCGGGUUGGUAAGUCAGGUGUGAAAUCCUACAGCUUAACUGUAGAACUGCAUUUGAAACUACCGACCUAGAGUGUGGGAGGGGGAGAUGGAAUUAGUGGUGUAGGGGUAAAAUCCGUAGAUAUCACUAGGAAUACCGAAAGCGAAGGCGAUCUCCUGGAACAUAACUGACGCUAAGGCGUGAAAGCGUGGGGAGCAAAC